This 673-nucleotide ribosomal RNA is filed under the name uncultured fungus. Its description in RNAcentral is "eukaryotic LSU rRNA". It matches the Rfam family "Eukaryotic large subunit ribosomal RNA", at positions 1 to 640 of the family's 3401-position model. Lineage: Eukaryota; Fungi. The record is from RNAcentral.
UACACGGACAAUGAUCCNUUGCUGGGAUUGACCAUUUGACCUCAAAUCAGGUAGGACUACCCGCUGAACUUAAGCAUAUCAAUAAGCGGAGGAAAAGAAACUAACAAGGAUUCCCCUAGUAACUGCGAGUGAAGCGGGAAAAGCUCAAAUUUAAAAUCUGGCGGUCCUCGCGNCCGUCCGAGUUGUAAUCUGGAGAAGUGUUUUCCGUGCUGGACCGUGUACAAGUCUCCUGGAACGGAGCGUCAUAGAGGGUGAGAAUCCCGUCUUUGACACGGACUGCCAGUACUUAUGUGAUACGCUCUCAACGAGUCGAGUCGUUUGGGAAUGCAGCUCAAAAUGGGUGGUAAAUUCCAUCUAAAGCUAAAUAUUGGCGAGAGACCGAUAGCGAACAAGUACCGUGAGGGAAAGAUGAAAAGAACUUUGGAAAGAGAGUUAAACAGUACGUGAAAUUGUUGAAAGGGAAACGCUUGAAGUCAGUCGCGUCUUCUGGGAAUCAACCUUGCAUUCGUGCUUGGUGCACUUCCUGGUAGACGGGUCAACAUCAAUUUCGACCGACGGAUAAAGGCGUGAGGAAGGUGGCAACCUCGGUUGUGUUAUAGCCUUGCGUCGCAUACGUCGGUUGGGAUUGAGGAACUCAGUACGCCUUUAUGGUCGGGGUUUACCCACGUAACGU